UGGGGAAUAUUGCACAAUGGGCGCAAGCCUGAUGCAGCCAUGCCGCGUGUAUGAAGAAGGCCUUCGGGUUGUAAAGCACUUUCAGCGGGGAGGAAGGCGUUAAGGUUAAUAACCUUGGCGAUUGACGUUACCCGCAGAAGAAGCACCGGCUAACUCCGUGCCAGCAGCCGCGGUAAUACGGAGGGUGCAAGCGUUAAUCGGAAUUACUGGGCGUAAAGCGCACGCAGGCGGUCUGUCAAGUCGGAUGUGAAAUCCCCGGGCUCAACCUGGGAACUGCAUUCGAAACUGGCAGGCUAGAGUCUUGUAGAGGGGGGUAGAAUUCCAGGUGUAGCGGUGAAAUGCGUAGUGAUCUGGAGGAAUACCGGUGGCGAAGGCGGCCCCCUGGACAAAGACUGACGCUCAGGUGCGAAAGCGUGGGGAGCAAACAGG
This 429-nucleotide ribosomal RNA is filed under the name Chloroflexota bacterium. Its description in RNAcentral is "Chloroflexi bacterium partial 16S ribosomal RNA". It matches the Rfam family "Bacterial small subunit ribosomal RNA", at positions 355 to 776 of the family's 1533-position model. Lineage: Bacteria; Bacillati; Chloroflexota. The record is from RNAcentral.